CAAAGACCUUCUGUUCUAGAGUUCCAGGGAAAAAAUCCCUAGGUAACCUCUUCCAGGACCUGCUCAGAUUUGCCAAGAGUUAACAAAUGCUUAAUAUCCAGGAGUAUUUGCUGUGCCUGCCUGAUGCUCAGUAACUUGUCACUGCUUCGAGGGAUCAGGAUGGGAGAUCUAUUCUCUGUAGUCCAACCUAAAGACUAAAAUGCAUUUCUCUGCAAUUACACCAUCAAAAAG
This 231-nucleotide long non-coding RNA is filed under the name Fukomys damarensis (Damara mole-rat). Its description in RNAcentral is "lncRNA (ENSFDAG00000024218.1)". Lineage: Eukaryota; Metazoa; Chordata; Mammalia; Rodentia; Bathyergidae. The record is from RNAcentral.